RNAcentral lists this ribosomal RNA (253 nucleotides) under uncultured bacterium. RNAcentral describes it as "partial 16S ribosomal RNA". It matches the Rfam family "Bacterial small subunit ribosomal RNA", at positions 524 to 776 of the family's 1533-position model. The record is from RNAcentral.
UACAGAGGUCUCAAGCGUUGUUCGGAUUCAUUGGGCGUAAAGGGUGCGUAGGCGGCGGCGUAAGUCGAGUGUGAAAUCUCGGGGCUCAACCCCGAAAUUGCACUCGAUACUGCGUCGCUAGAGGACUGUAGAGGAGAUCGGAAUUCACGGUGUAGCAGUGAAAUGCGUAGAUAUCGUGAGGAAGACCAGUUGCGAAAGCGGAUCUCUAGGCAGUUCCUGACGCUGAGGCACGAAGGCUAGGGGAGCAAACGGG